Molecule: ribosomal RNA, 402 nt
Filed under: uncultured bacterium
Lineage: Bacteria
Description: bacterial SSU rRNA
Rfam family: Bacterial small subunit ribosomal RNA
Source: RNAcentral
UGGGGAAUCUUGCACAAUGGGGGCAACCCUGAUGCAGCGACGCCGCGUGAGCGAUGAAGCCCUUCGGGGCGUAAAGCUCUUUCGACCGGAACGAUAAUGACGGUACCGGGAGAAGAAGCUGCGGCUAACUACGUGCCAGCAGCCGCGGUAAUACGUAGGCAGCAAGCGUUGUUCGGAGUUACUGGGCGUAAAGAGUGCGUAGGCGGUUUUUUAAGUUCGGUGUGAAAUCUCCCGGCUUAACUGGGAGGGUGCGCCGAAGACUGGGAAGCUGGAGUGUGGGAAAGGCAGGCGGAAUUCCAGGUGUAGCGGUGAAAUGCGUAGAUAUCAGGAGGAACACCGGCGGUGUAGACGGCUUGCUAGACCAUAACUGACGCUGAGGCACGAAAGCGUGGGUAGCAAACA